This is a non-coding RNA of Coffea arabica (coffee), 1172 nucleotides long. NCBI's taxonomy places the organism in Eukaryota, Viridiplantae, Streptophyta, Magnoliopsida, Gentianales, Rubiaceae. The record is from RefSeq and is a predicted model, not a curated record.
AAUCAUCCAUCCAUACAAACAUGUUUGGGUAAUGUAAAAGUUAUCAAGAAAAUGGAUUCCAUGGGCUGUACGCUAUUUAACUUGAGGAGUCUACCAUUAGGAGGAGUCUAUUCCAGUUAGCACUUAGUAGUAUCAUCAAUUCUAGGCUUCUUGUGAGAAUUUACAAAAGGAAAAAAGAAAAAUCUGAGAUGUCAACUCCGUCAAUGGCCAUCGGAGUAGCCAUGUCGGAAUGCCGAUUACUUCUGGAAGAGAUGCUUGAUGGCUUCAGGGCUGCCGAGCAACAUUUCCGCAAUGCCGUUCAUGUCGAGCUGCCAGCAUUUAUCCCGCUAAUGGAUCAAGUCAGUGCUGAAAUUCAGGUUCUGUCGCAGACCGCCCAAGAUGUCAUGCAAAAUUUUGAUAAGAUGAACUACCUCUGUACAACGCAGCAAAAACUGGACAGCAUGAGCAAGGCUGUGGAUUAUGUGGACGGAGUAGUUGCAAAGAUCGAAGAAAAUAUGGAAUUCUACAACGCCGUGAAGGAUUCUUUCCAAAGUAAGAAAGAUAUAUUUGAUAAGUGUUCCGGGGUCGUCAAUGGUGAUCUCCCGUCACCGUCUAUUCUUAACCAGCUUGAUGCUAUUGAUGAAAAAUUGAGCAGUCUGACUGUAUCUUUCCGGGAGGUUGAUCAAGUGUUGAAUCCAAUCCGAGGGAGUAAUCUUGAUUAUGAUGAUGGUCAGGCGGCUGCAGGUCAUGAUAAUGUGGUGAGUUUUCGUGAUUAAGGUCCUGAUGACUGGUGGCCAUUAGAAGAGAGCCUCCGUCGGUGUUGACCCUACGAGUUGUGAUCGUACAAGAAUGAAACAGAAAACUACCAAAAAGGAGGGAUUUUAUGAAGAAUAUGGAGACUUCUAAGGGAUUCAAUCCUUGGGCCCUUGGAUUGGUGGGGACCACAAAGCUAUAAGUCAUUUGGGCUCUUCAAAGAAAGCUACGUAAAAGAGACUUGGAACAAGAAGUACUUUGGAGGCUUUGUCCACAUGUGUGGGGACCACCUAGAUAGCUUUAGUCUAUCUUUCUUUUGUUUCUUAAAUAGGGAUAACGUAGGGAAAGAAGACAUCUCUAGUUUUUAGUCUUUUAGUUUAGUUUUAGUUUUUCUUUCUCCUGACUGGCCUCUGACACACGCCAGGUGUUCGACGAUAUUC